ACAAUUUGUCUGGUUAAUUACGUUAACGAACGAGACCACAGCCUACUAAAUAGUACAUGUUAUGGUAACAUAGUAUGAGACUUCUUAGAGGGACAUUUCGGGUUUACCGAAAGGAAGGUUGUGGCAAUAACAGGUCUGUGAUGCCCCUAGAUGUUCUGGGCCGCACGCGCGCUACACUGACGACUUCAAAAAGUUUUUUGGCAUUGCCAAAUUUCCUUGGCCGGAAGGUCUGGGUAAUCUUUUAAAAGGUCGUCGUGAUGGGGCUAGAUUCUUGCAAUUAUUAAUCUCCAACGAGGAACC
RNAcentral lists this ribosomal RNA (300 nucleotides) under Thraustochytriidae sp. RNAcentral describes it as "SSU rRNA". It matches the Rfam family "Eukaryotic small subunit ribosomal RNA", at positions 1306 to 1610 of the family's 1831-position model. The record is from RNAcentral. Lineage: Eukaryota; Bigyra; Thraustochytrida; Thraustochytriidae.